RNAcentral lists this long non-coding RNA (834 nucleotides) under Coturnix japonica (Japanese quail). Its description in RNAcentral is "lncRNA (ENSCJPG00005009174.1)". Lineage: Eukaryota; Metazoa; Chordata; Aves; Galliformes; Phasianidae. The record is from RNAcentral.
CCCUACCAGGCAGGGGGUUGGAGCUUCAUGAUCCUUGAGUUCCUUCCAACCCGGGUCAUUCUGUGAUUCUGUGAUUCUGUGAUUCUGUGAUUCUGUGAGUCACCUAGAAACUGGAGAGUGGUGAAGGACAUGCAUGUGAUUAAAACAACCUUGGCUGUUAAUAGUCUAAUUUCAGAAUCUGUGAGCAUGGUUUGUGCUACUUCUAUGUGGAGAAAUGCAAACAGAAAGUGAGAGAUGGAUCCUGAAAACAUGAACACAACAGGAGUACCAACAGGCAUUUUCAUCAAAGUUGGCUUACAUCUUCUUUACUGGUGGAUAGCUUUGGUUUUUGUCCGUGAUAUUCUCCAAACCUUGCAAUUCCUCUGCAUGCUUGAUGGGCAUAGAUUGGGAAAAUCUUUCUACAUGCAAAAUGGGUAUGGAUUGGGAAGCAUCUUUAAAAUAAGUGAUUUUAGCUCCAUGAAAGAUUAGUUUAGCUACAGGCCCCAGCAAAUGCAGAAGAGACGGGAAGAGGCUUGGACAGGUUGCAGUGUGUGCAUGGCUACCUGGAAUGUGACUGGUCUUUCAUGGCACUGUUGCUACUGCUGAAAAGCAGCACCCACCACCUCACUGUGCUCACAUCCACUAUUUGUUCUACUUAAACAUUCAACAAGAACCAGUAAAUGUCAGUGGGUACUAUUUUUUUUCCUCAAGGAAGAAAUCAACAACACCCCUAUGCUUCAAAUGCACUGCCACGUCUGAUGCUAUUUGGUUGGGCUGCCUUUCUGCUGCCAUGUGUCACAUGGCAACAAAAUGUAACAAAAUAAAAUAGAACAGAAGAAAAUGAUGGGAAGGUUC